GACGAACGCUGGCGGCGUGCUUAACACAUGCAAGUCGAGCGGAAAGGCCCUUCGGGGUACUCGAGCGGCGAACGGGUGAGUAACACGUGAGUAACCUGCCCCCGACUUUGGGAUAACCCUCGGAAACGGGGGCUAAUACCGGAUACGACACAGCUUCGCAUGGGGUCUGUGUGGAAAGUUUUUCGGUUUGGGAUGGGCUCGCGGCCUAUCAGCUUGUUGGUGGGGUGAUGGCCUACCAAGGCGACGACGGGUAGCCGGCCUGAGAGGGCGAACGGCCACACUGGGACUGAGACACGGCCCAGACGCCAACGGGAGGCAGCAGUGGGGAAUAUUGCACAAUGGGCGGAAGCCUGAUGCGGCGACGCCGCGUGAGGGAUGACGGCCUUCGGGUUGUAAACCUCUUUCAGCAGGGACGAAGCGUAAGUGACGGUACCUGCAGAAGAAGCGCCGGCCAACUACGUG
RNAcentral lists this ribosomal RNA (462 nucleotides) under uncultured bacterium. RNAcentral's name for it is "partial 16S ribosomal RNA". It matches the Rfam family "Bacterial small subunit ribosomal RNA", at positions 28 to 507 of the family's 1533-position model. The record is from RNAcentral.